This 690-nucleotide ribosomal RNA is filed under the name Nephila pilipes (giant wood spider). Its description in RNAcentral is "SSU rRNA". It matches the Rfam family "Eukaryotic small subunit ribosomal RNA", at positions 420 to 1115 of the family's 1831-position model. The record is from RNAcentral. Lineage: Eukaryota; Metazoa; Arthropoda; Arachnida; Araneae; Nephilidae.
GGAAGGCAGCAGGCACGCAAAUUACCCACUCCCGGCCCGGGGAGGUAGUGACGAAAAAUAACGAUACGGGACUCUUUCGAGACCCCGUGAUCGGAAUGAUCGCAAGGUAAAGAGUGUUGAAAGGAACGAUUGGAGGGCAAGUCUGGUGCCAGCAGCUGCGGUAACUCCAGCUCCGAUAGCGUAAGCUAAAUUUGUUGCGGAUGAAAAGCUCGUAGUCGGAUCUCAGCCCGGGACGGUGGGGCGCGUCAGCGCCCCUUCCGGUCUCGCGGGCUCUGGCCGUUCACCGAACCGCGAUCUUAACCGGUCGUGGGGCGGGGUCCGGUCAGUUUACCUUGAAGAAACUGAAGUGCUCAAAGCAGGCCUGUCGCCCGCACAAGGAUGCAUGGAAUAAUGCAAGAGGACCUCGGUUCUAUUGUGUUGGUUUUCGGAACCGGAGGUAAUGAUCGAUAGGAACAGACGGGGGCAUUCGUACUGAGACGCUAGAGGUGAAAUUCUUGGACCGUCUCAGGACGAACUACUGCGAAAGCAUUUGCCAAGAAUGUUUUCAUUGACCAAGAACGAAAGUCAGAGGUUCGAAGGCGAUCAGAUACCGCCGUAGUUCUGACCGUAAACUAUGCCAGCCAGCGAUCCGGUGCUGUUUGAGAAAGGACACGCCGGGCAGCUUCCGGGAAACCAGAGCUUCUGGGUUCC